This 624-nucleotide small RNA is filed under the name Histoplasma capsulatum. Its description in RNAcentral is "hypothetical RNA". Lineage: Eukaryota; Fungi; Ascomycota; Eurotiomycetes; Onygenales; Ajellomycetaceae. The record is from RNAcentral. RNAcentral also lists the same sequence under 1 other name.
CAGCAGCGGGCAAUCUUGAUGUCAAUGGCAAUGCUGAUGUUGAUGCUACAUGGGUAAACACCACAUCCCGAGACACGCGCACCUGAGAAUUAUUCAUCUUCGGUAAUAUAGUGUCCGCGAUGGAGUGGACCGAUGACAUCUCAAAGCGAGGUGGGCGGUGAUGUGUGGCUAUUGAUAGUAGUAGUUAGUGAGUCGAUCAAGGAGGCUUGACGAUGGUUCAUUUUCAAGUUUUUAAAACAAAGAUAUCUUGUUGUACUGUAUAUUGCAUUUUCAUUGUUUCAUUAGAUACAGAGUACACAUUGAGCUAUUUUGCAUAGAAUUCCAUGUUGAUUUUAUCGGGCAAGCAAGCCCUGAGGGAUUGGUCUCUGUCUGGGUAUCUGCCUAGCCUUGGUUAGCAUCUUGAUAAGAUAUCUCACUAUCUGUCUAUCAGUAGGGCUGAGACCAAGCGACCAGCGACCACCAGCUGUCGGCGGCUUCUUGUUUAUCGCGUUUUCCACUGCGUCAUCGCCCGGGUCUACUACACCUGGCUGCGCAGGCGGGGAAGAGGACACCGCAAAAUUAAUCCGACAAAGGGGUUUGAAGUCGAAAAUUGAGCAAAAUUGGGGUUCUCUCUCUCUCUCUAGA